CCGUGUCGCCCAGCCUGGAGUGCAGUGGCGCGAUCUUGGCUCACUGCAACCUCCGCACCCCAGGUUCAAGGGAUUCUACUGCCUCAGCCUCCUGAGUAGCUGGGAUUACAGGCGCUCGCCACCACGCCCGGAUAAUUUUUGUAUUUUUACUAGAGGCGGUGUUUCAUCAUAUUGACCAGGCUGGUCUCGAACUCCUAACCUCAAUAAUCUGCCCGCCUCGGCCUCCCAAACUGCCAGGAUUACAGCAUGAGCCGCUGCGCCCAGCCGUUACAGGGCUUUCACUCCUGGGUCGAAAAAGGUCACCAACUCCUACUAAAUCUUAAACAUUAACAGCAACUGAAGCCUCAUCUUCAGACCUAAGAGAAGAUGAAAAUCAGAAGAAGCUGCAUUCACAAGACCUGUGUCCAGAAAAUUAAACUAUUCAACCCCCUAGUCCCAGGGACUAUUGCAGAAGAAGAACUAGCUCUGUCACCUGGGUUGGAAUGCAGUGGCAUGAUCCUGGCUCACUGCAACCUCCAUCUCCCAGACACAAGCGAUCCUGCCACCUCAGCCUCCUGAGUAGCUGGGACUGCAGAAUAAGGUUCACACCCACCUCCCUGCAAUCUGAUUUGGACGGCCCAUGAGACCAGAAGAUUACAAAAACGCAAAAGAUGUUGACUUAUGAGUCCUAGAUACCCUGUAUCCGCUGGUGAAAGGACGCGAUGGAGUUGCCGUGUCCCCUCCGAGUUUGGCAGGCCCGGGAUUCCGCAAAGGAGGCGGCGGGACCAGAUGCCUCCAGCCCGGAGCUCAGUACAUUCGGUGUCCUGGAUGCUCCCUUCCUGUGCUUACCACUGCGAGCUCUCCUGGGCCGACCUAGAUUUCCACUGCCACAUACUUUCCGCUCCCUGCGUGCUUCCUUGCUGAAACUGCCGGCGAAAAGAUCUCUUUCCCAAGCCUCAGAGUACCUGGAGGCGGGGCGCAGAGUCGCCUGCUCUGGAUCCGGCGCAGGCAAUUCAGGAGGAGCCGCAGGAGCCCUCGGGAGAGCAGGAGGCUGCAUAGGGUCUCAACAUACGCCCGCCCGCCCCCGCAGCCUCCCUCGCAACUCGCCUCUCGCUUAGUGGACAGACGACUGGAGCCGGAGACUUCCAUCCGAGAAGACCUUUGAGAGUGUCAGCCUACUGCUGUCCCCUGGUGCCACCAACCAAAGUUCCAAGACUGCUGGCUGCAGAUGGCAUGCGCUUGGGGACAGACGCCCUGAGACUGUGUCCACGGCCCGCCUUUGGAAUCCUGGGCCCUGAAACUUCCUCUGAGACCUUCCAUUGGAUGAUCCUCUUGUAAAUAAAUAAAUAAAUAAAUAAAGUUACAAU
This 1346-nucleotide long non-coding RNA is filed under the name Homo sapiens (human). Its description in RNAcentral is "long non-coding RNA NONHSAT202543.1". The record is from RNAcentral. Lineage: Eukaryota; Metazoa; Chordata; Mammalia; Primates; Hominidae.